AAGCAACCAUCUGCCAGCCAAGAAGAGAGCUCUCACCAGAGCCCAACCACGCUGGCACCUUGACCCCAGACUUCCAGCCUCUAGAACUGUAAGAAAAUAAAUUUCUUCUGUUUAAAAAAAAACAAAACAAAAAAGAAUAUGAGUCAGAGAGGCUCAGGAAGAAGCCAUACUCUGCACCCUGCUAGUUAUGCGACCUCAGUAAAUCUCUAACACCAAUCAAACACAAGAAAUGAAGAUAUUCAGAAGCCAAUACCAUGAAGACAAGUUACCUAAAACUCUUGACCUAUCAUGAUGGAAGUUUGAUGGCGUGUUCAUACUCAGGGGGCUCAGCGUUCAGUUCUGAUUCCAAGACGUCCCAGAAGGCCUGGUGGACAACGUGCCUCACUCUACCGGCCAAGCUACAGGAAUGAAAUGGAUCAAUUUUAAAAUAAGCACUAUUUCUCCUGAUUAUAAAAGAAAGAUGCUUAUUGUAGAAAUCUUAGAAAAUGCAGAAAAACAGAGAAUAAAAAUUGCUCAUAAUCCUAUUAUUAAUCUUUUGAUGUAUUUGACAUAUGUUCAAUGAAUGCAUUGUUUUAAUAUAAUUGUUUUAAUACUGA
This is a long non-coding RNA of Lagenorhynchus albirostris (white-beaked dolphin), 596 nucleotides long. RefSeq lists it as uncharacterized. NCBI's taxonomy places the organism in Eukaryota, Metazoa, Chordata, Mammalia, Artiodactyla, Delphinidae. The record is from RefSeq and is a predicted model, not a curated record. The transcript has 3 exons.